CUAGGCUCAAACCGUCGCCGAACAACUUGGCGAUCGGGUGUGGUAACCCGGGUU
Molecule: non-coding RNA, 54 nt
Filed under: unclassified sequences
Source: RNAcentral